GACGAACGCUGGCGGCGUGCUUAACACAUGCAAGUCGAACGGAAAGGCCCUGCUUUUGUGGGGUGCUCGAGUGGCGAGCGGGUGAGUAACACGUGAGUAACCUGCCCUUGACUUUGGGAUAACUCCAGGAAACUGGGGCUAAUACCGGAUAGGAGCUCCUGCUGCAUGUUGGGGGUUGGAAAGUUUCGGCGGUUGGGGAUGGACUCGCGGCUUAUCAGCUUGUUGGUGGGGUAGUGGCUUACCAAGGCUUUGACGGGUAGCCGGCCUGAGAGGGUGACCGGCGACAUUGGGACUGAGAUAGGGACCAGACUCCUACGGGAGGCAGCAGUGGGGAGUCUUGCGCAACGGGGGGAAGUCUGAUGCAGCAACGCCGCGAGCGGGAUGCCGGGCUUCGGGUUAUAAACAGCUUUCGCAUGUGACGAAGCGGGCGUGACGGUAAUGGGUCAAGAAGCAACGGCUAACUACGUG
Molecule: ribosomal RNA, 468 nt
Filed under: uncultured bacterium
Lineage: Bacteria
Description: partial 16S ribosomal RNA
Rfam family: Bacterial small subunit ribosomal RNA
Source: RNAcentral